This 820-nucleotide ribosomal RNA is filed under the name Bacillus subtilis. Its description in RNAcentral is "bacterial SSU rRNA". It matches the Rfam family "Bacterial small subunit ribosomal RNA", at positions 554 to 1376 of the family's 1533-position model. Lineage: Bacteria; Bacillati; Bacillota; Bacilli; Caryophanales; Bacillaceae. The record is from RNAcentral.
UUGGGCGUAAGGGCUCGCAGGCGGUUUCUUAAGUCUGAUGUGAAAGCCCCCGGCUCAACCGGGGAGGGUCAUUGGAAACUGGGGAACUUGAGUGCAGAAGAGGAGAGUGGAAUUCCACGUGUAGCGGUGAAAUGCGUAGAGAUGUGGAGGAACACCAGUGGCGAAGGCGACUCUCUGGUCUGUAACUGACGCUGAGGAGCGAAAGCGUGGGGAGCGAACAGGAUUAGAUACCCUGGUAGUCCACGCCGUAAACGAUGAGUGCUAAGUGUUAGGGGGUUUCCGCCCCUUAGUGCUGCAGCUAACGCAUUAAGCACUCCGCCUGGGGAGUACGGUCGCAAGACUGAAACUCAAAGGAAUUGACGGGGGCCCGCACAAGCGGUGGAGCAUGUGGUUUAAUUCGAAGCAACGCGAAGAACCUUACCAGGUCUUGACAUCCUCUGACAAUCCUAGAGAUAGGACGUCCCCUUCGGGGGCAGAGUGACAGGUGGUGCAUGGUUGUCGUCAGCUCGUGUCGUGAGAUGUUGGGUUAAGUCCCGCAACGAGCGCAACCCUUGAUCUUAGUUGCCAGCAUUCAGUUGGGCACUCUAAGGUGACUGCCGGUGACAAACCGGAGGAAGGUGGGGAUGACGUCAAAUCAUCAUGCCCCUUAUGACCUGGGCUACACACGUGCUACAAUGGACAGAACAGAGGGCAGCGAAACCGCGAGGUUAGCCAAUCCCACAAAUCUGUUCUCAGUUCGGAUCGCAGUCUGCAACUCGACUGCGUGAAGCUGGAAUCGCUAGUAAUCGCGGAUCAGCAUGCCGCGGUGAAUACGUUCCCG